AAGCAACUCUAAAUCAGGUUUUGCUGUAGUUGCAAUGCAAUUUGACGUACUAGCCAAUACAGCAGUUUCAGUUUCUCUGUCCUCCUGCGGCAAAACACCUGUUUCAGCACGUUCCUCAUCUGGUAAUUGCUCAAGCGGGACUUCAGUGGUUAAUGUGUCAUCAGGCUCCAUUUCAGGAUCCCAAGGUUCCUUGGGGUUCAAUGGGAUUUCCUGGACUGUCCUGUAAAUGGCUUCCGUCUCUCGACGGACUCUCUUAUUCUGAACGUCGACUUCUUUACUCUCACCCCCUGCACAAACCCUCGAUGCAUAUCGGAGCUGCAACCCUGGUGGUUUCUUCCAUGGGA
Molecule: unclassified non-coding RNA, 344 nt
Filed under: Hevea brasiliensis (rubber tree)
Lineage: Eukaryota; Viridiplantae; Streptophyta; Magnoliopsida; Malpighiales; Euphorbiaceae
Source: RNAcentral